UUGAACGCUGGCGGCAGGCCUAACACAUGCAAGUCGAGCGGAUGAAGGGAGCUUGCUCCUGGAUUCAGCGGCGGACGGGUGAGUAAUGCCUAGGAAUCUGCCUGGUAGUGGGGGAUAACGUCCGGAAACGGGCGCUAAUACCGCAUACGUCCUGAGGGAGAAAGUGGGGGAUCUUCGGACCUCACGCUAUCAGAUGAGCCUAGGUCGGAUUAGCUAGUUGGUGGGGUAAAGGCCUACCAAGGCGACGAUCCGUAACUGGUCUGAGAGGAUGAUCGGUCACACUGGAACUGAGACACGGUCCAGACUCCUACGGGAGGCAGCAGUGGGGAAUAUUGGACAAUGGGCGAAAGCCUGAUCCAGCCAUGCCGCGUGUGUGAAGAAGGUCUUCGGAUUGUAAAGCACUUUAAGUUGGGAGGAAGGGCAGUAAGUUAAUACCUUGCUGUUUUGACGUUACCAACAGAAUAAGCACCGGCUAACUUCGUG
RNAcentral lists this ribosomal RNA (483 nucleotides) under uncultured bacterium. RNAcentral describes it as "partial 16S ribosomal RNA". It matches the Rfam family "Bacterial small subunit ribosomal RNA", at positions 30 to 507 of the family's 1533-position model. The record is from RNAcentral.